RNAcentral lists this transfer RNA (61 nucleotides) under Pelagomacellicephala iliffei. Its description in RNAcentral is "tRNA-Glu". Lineage: Eukaryota; Metazoa; Annelida; Polychaeta; Phyllodocida; Polynoidae. The record is from RNAcentral.
AUACUCUAGUAUAACCAUUACAUAACUUUUUCAAAGUUAAAAUCCCACCUUGGGGAAUAUU